GCUCUUCCCAAGAUGAGUUUUCCCUGAGGAUCGUGGCAGACCACCACGUUGAUAGGCUGGCGGUGUAAGUGUGGUAACACAUUCAGCUCACCAGUACUAAUCAUCCGAUUGGCUUGAUUCCU
This 122-nucleotide ribosomal RNA is filed under the name Akkermansiaceae bacterium. RNAcentral's name for it is "partial 23S ribosomal RNA". It matches the Rfam family "Bacterial large subunit ribosomal RNA", at positions 2792 to 2925 of the family's 2925-position model. The record is from RNAcentral. Lineage: Bacteria; Pseudomonadati; Verrucomicrobiota; Verrucomicrobiia; Verrucomicrobiales; Akkermansiaceae.